Mesocricetus auratus (golden hamster) is the source of this 278-nucleotide unclassified non-coding RNA. Its record names the gene 7SK. It matches the Rfam family "7SK RNA". Rfam says of the family: 7SK was discovered as an abundant small nuclear RNA in the mid-70s but a possible function has only recently been suggested. Two independent studies have found that 7SK RNA binds the CDK9/cyclin T complex (known as elongation factor P-TEFb). P-TEFb activates transcription by phosphorylating the C-terminal domain of RNA polymerase II. The record is from Ensembl. NCBI's taxonomy places the organism in Eukaryota, Metazoa, Chordata, Mammalia, Rodentia, Cricetidae.
AGAAGUGACGGAGAUCGGGCUCCAUCAUUUGUCACCCCACUAACUGUCAGGGUUUACUCCCAUAAUCUAGCUGGCUGGGCUUUUUUCCUUCCUCACUUUACAGCGCCAAGUGUGUUCUUCCUGAAGCUGCACACUUUCUUUGACCUUUCUUUGCUCAAGCAUAAAUCCAUAGCUGCGCUCUCCAGGUAUAUACCUCAAACAAGCUCUCGAGGUCCAAACGAGUACAAGUAUCAGUAUGCCUGUAGUUACUGAAGGUAGAGCUCUUGGGAGUGUAAAUC